CCACCCUAGCAUACCAUCCGGUUAAACACUUUGUGGGUCUCAUUUACAGAUGACAGGGUUUGUGAUGCAACAGGCAGCUCCUGCCUACCUCAGCCCCACAAGGGAUUCCAGUCAACCAGGGAUCACAUAACGAAGCAGCCAUUGUUCCCAUAGCCAAGCAGCCUUGACUACAUGAUGCAGAGGGAACCUGAGUGAAGUCAUAUUGGUGAUCCCAACCAAUCAGGGACCAUGAAGGAUGACAUUAUGCCUACCAGAUUUCACUAUGUGGUGAAAUAGCUACAACUACGUGAGGGAGCAAGUCAAAGCUACAGAAACCAACACAGGAAGCUGCCUUAUACGGUCAGAGCCUUCAUCCAUAUACCUAUUUAUUAACUUUUUUAUUAUAUUUUUAUACCACCUUUUCCUCGCAGGAGCUCAAGGUGCCGUUCAUGGUUCUUCUUCCUCUCUGUCUUAUCCUCAGAACAAUCCUGUGAGGUAGGCUAGGCUGAGGGUGACUGGUCUGAGGUCACCCAGUGGGCUUCGUGGCUGAGUGAGGAUUUGAACACUGGUCUCCCAGAUCUUAAGGCAAGACUCUAACCACUACACAACAUUGUCUGCACUGACUGGUAGCAGUUCUACAGAACUCCAGGUCUUUCUCAGCCCUACCUGGAGAUGACAGUGAUUGCAAAUGGGAUAUUUUGUGUGCAAAGCACAUGCUGUACAAUGCUCUUCCUUAUAAACCAGCAUCCCCCCCCCCAAAAAAUAACUAACAAUAAGCUUCUCCUCCUCCUUUUUUGGACAGCUUCAGUCACUUUCAUAAAGAACAGUGAGUGGGCUCAAUGUAUGCAAUUUGUGGAGCCCACUGCAUUGGCAUAAAGAAUAGUUUCACAUUAUCCGCAACAUGCAUGCAGUUACAGAACUGGUGAUACCGAAAGCAGAUCAAGGUACCCUUUGUUUUUGUUUUCAUUUCAGGGGUCUCCAUUUCCAGAAGUUGCCAAGUACAAUGCACAGAGAAGGCAAGUGCAACCUGUCAUCCCAGCCCUUGCAUGGCAAAACCUGCCUUGUGCCUCUCCUAUUCCCCUAGUAAGACCUUUUGCAGCCACGUAGCCUUUCCUUUCAAACACAACGAGAUGCCGGGGAAGAAAUGAAGCUCCCUUUAUGCACUGCUAGAUGGAGCAAACAGAAUGCAAAUCAUG
Molecule: non-coding RNA, 1175 nt
Organism: Podarcis lilfordi (Lilford's wall lizard)
Lineage: Eukaryota; Metazoa; Chordata; Lepidosauria; Squamata; Lacertidae
Source: the annotation of a GenBank genome assembly